AAUCAACGCUGGCGGCGCGCUUAACACAUGCAAGUCGCACGAGAAAGUGGAGCAAUCCAUGAGUACAGUGGCGCACGGGUGAGUAACACGUGGGUAACCUGCCCUUGAAUGGGGAAUAACCCGGGGAAACCUGGGCUAAUACCGCAUACGCUCCUUUUGGCUCACGCCAGGGGGAGGAAAGGCGCAAGCCGUUCGAGGAGGGGCCCGCGGCCGAUUAGCUAGUUGGUAGGGUAAUGGCCACCAAGGCUUUGAUCGGUAGCCGGCCUGAGAGGGCACACGGCCACACUGGCACUGAAACACGGGCCAGACUCCUACGGGAGGCAGCAGUGGGGAAUCUUGCACAAUGGGGGAAACCCUGAUGCAGCGACGCCGCGUGAGCGAUGAAGCCCUUCGGGGUGUAAAGCUCUUUGGCGGGAAAUUAUGAUGUACCCGCUGAAUAAGCUGCGGCUAACUACGUGCCAGCCGCCGCAGUAAG
This 475-nucleotide ribosomal RNA is filed under the name uncultured bacterium. RNAcentral describes it as "bacterial SSU rRNA". It matches the Rfam family "Bacterial small subunit ribosomal RNA", at positions 32 to 524 of the family's 1533-position model. The record is from RNAcentral.